RNAcentral lists this ribosomal RNA (800 nucleotides) under uncultured bacterium. RNAcentral describes it as "bacterial SSU rRNA". It matches the Rfam family "Bacterial small subunit ribosomal RNA", at positions 78 to 893 of the family's 1533-position model. The record is from RNAcentral.
GAAUUUGAUUUAGUUUAGCGGCGGACGGGUGAGUAACGCGUGAGUAACCUGCCUUUCAAGAGGGGGAUAACAUUCUGAAAAGAAUGCUAAUACCGCAUGACAUAUCGGAACCACAUGGUUCUGAUAUCAAAGAUUUUAUCGCUUGAAGAUGGACUCGCGUCCGAUUAGUUAGUUGGUGAGGUAACGGCCCACCAAGACCGCGAUCGGUAGCCGGACUGAGAGGUUGAACGGCCACAUUGGGACUGAGACACGGCCCAGACUCCUACGGGAGGCAGCAGUGGGGGAUAUUGCGCAAUGGGGGCAACCCUGACGCAGCAACGCCGCGUGAAGGAUGAAGGUUUUCGGAUUGUAAACUUCUUUUAUUAAGGACGAAAAAUGACGGUACUUAAUGAAUAAGCUCCGGCUAACUACGUGCCAGCAGCCGCGGUAAUACGUAGGGAGCAAGCGUUGUCCGGAUUUACUGGGUGUAAAGGGUGCGUAGGCGGCUUUGCAAGUCAGAUGUGAAAUCUAUGGGCUCAACCCAUAAACUGCAUUUGAAACUGUAGAGCUUGAGUGAAGUAGAGGCAGGCGGAAUUCCCCGUGUAGCGGUGAAAUGCGUAGAGAUGGGGAGGAACACCAGUGGCGAAGGCGGCCUGCUGGGCUUUAACUGACGCUGAGGCACGAAAGCGUGGGUAGCAAACAGGAUUAGAUACCCUGGUAGUCCACGCUGUAAACGAUGAUUACUAGGUGUGGGGGGUCUGACCCCUUCCGUGCCGGAGUUAACACAAUAAGUAAUCCACCUGGGGAGUACGGCCGCAAGG